GACGAACGCUGGCGGCGUGCCUAAUACAUGCAAGUAGAACGCUGAAGGAGGAGCUUGCUUCUCUGGAUGAGUUGCGAGCGGGUGAGUAACGCGUAGGUAACCUGCCUGGUAGCGGGGGAUAACUAUUGGAAACGAUAGCUAAUACCGCAUAAGAGUAGAUGUUGCAUGACAUUUGCUUAAAAGGUGCAAUUGCAUCACUACCAGAUGGACCUGCGUUGUAUUAGCUAGUUGGUGAGGUAACGGCUCACCAAGGCAACGAUACAUAGCCGACCUGAGAGGGUGAUCGGCCACACUGGGACUGAGACACGGCCCAGACUCCUACGGGAGGCAGCAGUAGGGAAUCUUCGGCAAUGGACGGAAGUCUGACCGAGCAACGCCGCGUGAGUGAAGAAGGGUUUCGGAUCGUAAAGCUCUGUUGUAAGAGAAGAACGAGUGUGAGAGUGGAAAGUUCACACUGUGACGGUAUCUUACCAGAAAGGGACGGCUAACUACGUG
RNAcentral lists this ribosomal RNA (495 nucleotides) under uncultured bacterium. RNAcentral's name for it is "partial 16S ribosomal RNA". It matches the Rfam family "Bacterial small subunit ribosomal RNA", at positions 28 to 507 of the family's 1533-position model. The record is from RNAcentral.